GACGAACGCUGGCGGCGCGCCUAACACAUGCAAGUCGAACGAGCGAGAGAGAGCUUGCUUUCUUGAGCGAGUGGCGAACGGGUGAGUAACGCGUGAGGAACCUGCCUCAAAGAGGGGGACAACAGUUGGAAACGACUGCUAAUACCGCAUAAGCCCACGACCCGGCAUCGGGUUGAGGGAAAAGGAGCAAUCCGCUUUGAGAUGGCCUCGCGUCCGAUUAGCUAGUUGGUGAGGUAACGGCCCACCAAGGCGACGAUCGGUAGCCGGACUGAGAGGUUGAACGGCCACAUUGGGACUGAGACACGGCCCAGACUCCUACGGGAGGCAGCAGUGGGGAAUAUUGCACAAUGGGGGAAACCCUGAUGCAGCGACGCCGCGUGGAGGAAGAAGGUCUUCGGAUUGUAAACCCCUGUUGUUGAGGAAGAUAAUGACGGUACUCAACAAGGAAGUGACGGCUAACUACGUG
RNAcentral lists this ribosomal RNA (466 nucleotides) under uncultured bacterium. RNAcentral's name for it is "partial 16S ribosomal RNA". It matches the Rfam family "Bacterial small subunit ribosomal RNA", at positions 28 to 507 of the family's 1533-position model. The record is from RNAcentral.